GACGAACGCUGGCGGUGUGCUUAACACAUGCAAGUCGAACGGUAAGGCCCUUUCGGGGGUACACGAGUGGCGAACGGGUGAGUAACACGUGAGUAACCUGCCCUCAUCUCUGGGAUAACAGUCGGAAACGGUUGCUAAUACUGGAUAUGAGCCUGCAAGGCAUCUUGUGGGUUGGAAAGAUUUUUUGGUUGGGGAUGGACUCGCGGCCUAUCAGCUUGUUGGUGAGGUAGUGGCUCACCAAGGCUUCGACGGGUAGCCGGCCUGAGAGGGCGACCGGCCACAUUGGGACUGAGAUACGGCCCAAACUCCUACGGGAGGCAGCAGUGGGGAAUAUUGCACAAUGGACGGAAGUCUGAUGCAGCAACGCCGCGUGCGGGAGGACGGCCUUCGGGUUGUAAACCGCUUUCAAUUGUGACGAAGCUUUUUGUGACGGUAGCAGUAGAAGAAGCACCGGCUAACUACGUG
Molecule: ribosomal RNA, 465 nt
Filed under: uncultured bacterium
Lineage: Bacteria
Description: partial 16S ribosomal RNA
Rfam family: Bacterial small subunit ribosomal RNA
Source: RNAcentral